AUGUCUAGUAAGCGCCGGGGAUAUGCCGGCGACGGCGGUGAAAAGAGGUCGCGGCGGAUCAAGCAUCUGUACCUCGUGUUGGAUGACUGGACCAAGGGGUACAGCAUCCACAAGAUCCAAGCCGACAGCUUCGACUCUGACUCUGACUCUGAUGAGCAGCACAGCGGCGCUGCCCGGCACCUCCCGGAGCCUCCGACCCUGCGGUUAGAGUGCCCGGUUGGCACUGUACCCCAUCCCGGCAUGUCGUUCUCUGCCUUGGGCACCAAGAUCUUCACCUUCAUGAACCAGCGAUGCAGCCUCAUCUACGACACCAAGACGGCCGCAAUGACGAUUGGCGCCCAUGCCCCUGCUGACAUGGUCUGUGGCUUCGGCAUCACCGUGGUCGUUGAUGAGAUGCUCUAUGCAUUAUCUUACCACUUCGACAAGAAACAACACUCCUUUGGGGUCAUGUCAUGGGGGUCCACCGCGCCGGAUGCGCUGCAACAUCCAACCGAGGGCUGGUCCUGGAAGACUCUGCCGCCACCACCGCCAACGUUCCACCGCCGAGUCAACUCCUAUGCACUACACCCGGAUGGAUGCACCAUCUUUAUGUCCACAGCUAACUUCAUGACGGCACCUAGCAAAGGUUGCAUGGGCACCUACUCAUUCAACACCAAGGAUUCUGUGUGGAGAUGGCAUGGGGAGUGGGCCUUGCCAUUCAACGGCCAAGCACACUUUGACAGGGAGCUCAACGCUUGGGUUGGCCUUCAUCUGGAUGGCUACAUCUCUGCUUGCCAAGUUGCCUCCCCCAGCUGCCACAGCACGACUCCAUCGUUGCAGCUGGACUGCCAGACAACCAAGGAGAAGUUGUUCUGCAAGGACCGGAAGCCGCACAUGGGAGCCUCUCUCACCUACAUGGGCACGAGCAAGUUCUGCCUCGUCGAGUGCGUGAAACGGGAGGGAGUGGAGGAGGAACAGGAUCUCGGAGACCAUGAUGGCUGUGUGCUCCAUAUCACCAUAUUUGGGCUCAAGUUCAAUCACAAGGGAGAGCUGCGGAUCACAGAUCACCGCUCCACGCGCUCCUUCAUAGUGUCUAGUCAUAAAGAUCACUUUAUGCCUGUAGCAUUUUGGAUGUAG
RNAcentral lists this ribosomal RNA (1116 nucleotides) under Triticum aestivum (bread wheat). RNAcentral describes it as "partial small subunit ribosomal RNA". The record is from RNAcentral. Lineage: Eukaryota; Viridiplantae; Streptophyta; Magnoliopsida; Poales; Poaceae.